CUUGGUAAGAAUAGCUGCGGGGGUACACCUGGUCCCAUACCGAACCCAGAAGUUAAGCCCGUAAACGCUGAAAGUACUUGGAGGGAAGCCUCCUGGGAGGAUAGGUACUUGCCAAGU
RNAcentral lists this ribosomal RNA (117 nucleotides) under Fusobacterium sp. Lineage: Bacteria; Fusobacteriati; Fusobacteriota; Fusobacteriia; Fusobacteriales; Fusobacteriaceae. The record is from RNAcentral.